UGAGGAAUAUUGGGCAAUGGGCGCAAGCCUGACCCAGCAACGCCGCGUGGAGGAAGACGGCCUUCGGGUUGUAAACUCCUUUUACGGGGGAAGAGGAAGGACGGUACCCCGAGAAUAAGUCACGGCUAACUACGUGCCAGCAGCCGCGGUAAUACGUAGGUGACAAGCGUUAUCCGGAAUUACUGGGCGUAAAGCGCACGCAGGCGGCGCAUUAAGUCUGACGUGAAAUCUCCUGGCUUAACUGGGAGGGGUCGUUGGAGACUGGUGUGCUUGAGGCGAUGAGAGGGGUGUAGAAUUCCCGGUGUAGUGGUGGAAUGCGUAGAUAUCGGGAGGAAUACCAGUGGCGAAAGCGACACCCUGGCAUUAGCCUGACGCUCAGGUGCGAAGGCGUGGGGAGCGAACGGGAUUAGAUACCCCGGUAGUCCACGCGGUAAACGAUGAAUACUAGGUGUGGGUGGAGUGAAAUCCAUCUGUGCCGAAGC
RNAcentral lists this ribosomal RNA (482 nucleotides) under uncultured Chloroflexota bacterium. RNAcentral's name for it is "bacterial SSU rRNA". It matches the Rfam family "Bacterial small subunit ribosomal RNA", at positions 355 to 852 of the family's 1533-position model. The record is from RNAcentral. Lineage: Bacteria; Bacillati; Chloroflexota.